CUGCCCUCAAGCCCGGCUUGUGUGUUGGGCCGCCGUCCCCGCCCGCCGCGGGGGGACGGGCCCGAAAGGCAGCGGCGGCGCCGCGUCCGGUCCUCGAGCGUAUGGGGCUUCGUCACCCGCUCUUGCAGGCCCGGCCGGAGCCUCAGCCCGACCCCGCGUCAACAUCUUCCA
RNAcentral lists this unclassified non-coding RNA (171 nucleotides) under Thermoascus aurantiacus. RNAcentral's name for it is "partial internal transcribed spacer 2". The record is from RNAcentral. Lineage: Eukaryota; Fungi; Ascomycota; Eurotiomycetes; Eurotiales; Thermoascaceae.